Molecule: long non-coding RNA, 935 nt
Filed under: Cyanistes caeruleus (blue tit)
Lineage: Eukaryota; Metazoa; Chordata; Aves; Passeriformes; Paridae
Description: lncRNA (ENSCCEG00000022710.1)
Source: RNAcentral
GGAUUUCAGUGCCCAGCUCUACUGGGACACUCAGCUGCUGAACGACUUCUUAAUGGGUGCCUUUGUCAUUGUCCUCAAGGCUUCCAUCACUGCUUCUGGAUGGUGACUUCAUAUUGCAGUCAUUAUGCAAAAUUCCUUCUUGAUAUGGUUAAAGUGGUUCAUUAGAGAGAGGCAAGGUGAGAGUGUGUUCACCACAUGCCUGCUGCUUUUACAAAUGAGGUAAAAAUGAAUUUCUUGUGAUGCUGAGUACUGAGUUUGGUGUGGAGUCAAAUAAACUCUGCUCUCUGACCCUUGCUAAGAGCUGAGACAUCCAAUGGCCUGGCUCAUGCUGGCCUCAGGGACUCCAGUUAUCCCUCUCUGUGUCCUAGUGAUGGGAAGGAUCUGAUCAUCAACUGUGGGAACAAAAAACAGUAACUAAUGUUUAUUUUCUACUUAGGCUGAGCUCCUGCAAGCUAAUUUACACCUUUAUUCUUCACUUGCUUUCCUGGCAGCAGGAUCUGCAUAUAAAGCUCCUUCCUCUGCACUGCUUUCACCCACAAGUCUGAUUGAAUUGCACAUUGCAGAAUGCAGUGUGUGGAGGGCAUGCACAGCACCAGUGUGAGCAGGUGUCCCCCAUGUUGGAUGAGCUGGUGCAGCUGCAGAGAUUUGCAUCUUUUCCAUUUGUAUGGAAUGUACCUGUUGCUGCCAUCUCCCUAUAACAGAGGGCUAUCUCUUCGGUAUCCUCAGGAUUUGCAGCAAAAAGAACACAUGGAAAAUGAAAACGUGGAGAGGAACUGGUUUUGAAUUGGACAAGCAGAAGCAAGCAAAUGAAAGCAGCAAAAUGCUCUUGAAAGGAAGAAAAUGACAACCGUGGGGUGUGUGAUUCGUUCCCUGGCUGAUGCCUCUCUGAGCAUGCAAUGGCACUGAGCCACCCGAAAGCAGCAGCGAUGCAGGCG